CACGUAGGGUCCAAGCGUUGUCCGGAUUUAUUGGGCGUAAAGAGCUCGUAGGCGGCUUGGUAAGUCGAGUGUGAAAACUCUGGGCUCAACUCAGAGACGCCACUCGAUACUGCCAUGGCUUGAGUCCGGUAGGGGAGUGUGGAAUUCCACGUGUAGCAGUGAAAUGCGUAGAGAUGUGGAGGAACACCGAUGGCGAAGGCAGCCCCCUGGGCUAACACUGACGCUCAGGCACGAAAGCGUGGGGAGCAAACAGG
This 254-nucleotide ribosomal RNA is filed under the name uncultured bacterium. RNAcentral describes it as "partial 16S ribosomal RNA". It matches the Rfam family "Bacterial small subunit ribosomal RNA", at positions 524 to 776 of the family's 1533-position model. The record is from RNAcentral.